Molecule: ribosomal RNA, 386 nt
Filed under: uncultured bacterium
Lineage: Bacteria
Description: bacterial SSU rRNA
Rfam family: Archaeal small subunit ribosomal RNA
Source: RNAcentral
GCGCGAAAACUGCACAAUGUGGGAAACCACGAUGCGGGAACACCAAGUGCCAGCACAUAGUGUUGGCUGUUUGCGAGCCUAAAAAGCUCGGAGAGUAAGGGCUGGGUAAGACGGGUGCCAGCCGCCGCGGUAAUACCUGCAGCCCAAGUGGUGGCCGUUAUUAUUGGGCCUAAAGCGUCCGUAGCCGGUUUGGUAGAUGCCUUUGUAAAUCGAACGGCUCAACCGUUCGAAUUGAGGGUAGACCGCCAGACUCGGGACCGGGAGAGGUGCGAGGUACUCGGGGGGUAGAGGUGAAAUUCUGUAAUCCUCCGGGGACCACCGGUGGCGAAGGCGUCGCACUUGAACGGCUCCGACGGUGAGGGACGAAGCCCUGGGGCGCAAACCGG